This is an RNA transcript of Zingiber officinale, 9022 nucleotides long. It is a transcript of the gene named E3 ubiquitin-protein ligase listerin-like, with no coding region annotated. The transcript is spliced from 17 exons. NCBI's taxonomy places the organism in Eukaryota, Viridiplantae, Streptophyta, Magnoliopsida, Zingiberales, Zingiberaceae. The record is from RefSeq and is a predicted model, not a curated record.
UCAGUGCAUUUACGCUCCGGGCUCCGAUUCGUCGUGCCAAGGCCAGAGCCGACUUUCGUCCUCAAUUCUCCGACGGGAAGAAUAAAUCUUCUGCCGUUGGGUCCGCGCUCCUUCUAGGGUUUUUUUUGCCUUCGCUCCGCCGCCUGGGCGUGACCUCCGUAGAGGAUGGGGAAGCCGAAGGGUGAUGGUGCGAGGAGCAAGUCGCGUCCUUCUAGCAGCAGCUCGGCUGCUUCUUUGCUGCCCUCGGGUGUCUCGACUGUUGGAUUCGGCGGUUACUUGGGGAGUUCUCGAGUUGAUUCCUCUUCGUUAGCUGAGGAUUCUGUGGCCUUUUUGGAUGUUGACAGUGAAAUGACACAACAUUUGAAGCGGCUUGGAAGGAAAGAUCCGACAACAAAGCUAAAAGCUCUGACAACAUUGGCAGUUCUUUUUAAGGAAAAACCUACUGAAGAAUUAGUGCAAAUUAUUCCACAAUGGGCAUUUGAAUACAGGAAGUUAUUGCAUGAUUUUAAUAGAGAGGCCCGCCGAGCUACGCAUGACACAAUGACUGCUCUUGUUAUGGCCAUUAGGAAAGGAUUGGCUCCACAUUUGAAAUCUUUGAUGGGUCCUUGGUGGUUUUCUCAAUUUGAUCCAGUUCCAGAAGUUUCUCUGGCUGCUAGGCUGUCUUUAGAGGCAGCCUUUCCAAUGCAAGAACGAAGGCUGGAUGCUUUGAUGUUUUGUGUAAAUGAGAUUUUUCUCUAUUUAGAUGAAAAUUUGAAAUUAACACCACAAACGAUGUUUGAUAAAGCCAUACCUGCUGAUGAGUUGGAAGAUAUGCACCAAAGAGCAAUUUCAUCUUCAUUAUUGGCAAUAGCAACCCUUAUUGACAUUUUACUGGUUGUAAAAAUGCCAAACUCUGAUAAUGGAAAUUGUUCGCCUGAACAAAAGCUUGUAUCCAGAGCAAGGACUGCUGCAGUAUCUUCUGUUGAAAAUCUGCUUGCUAUGCAUAAGUGUUUUCUUCAACAUAUGAAAUCCAAGCAUCCCAGUGUUCGUACAGCUACAUAUUCUAUCAUAGCUAGCAUUAUAAAAAAUAUCCCACAUGUCUUGAAUGAAGAAAAUGUGAAGGUGCUUUCAACUGCCAUACUUGGUGUUUUACAAGAGAAGGAUGCAUCUUGCCAUUCGUCCAUGUGGGAUAUGUUAUUGCUCUUUUCAAAAAAAAUCCCAAAUGGUUGGUCAUAUUGUAACACCCAGAAAGUUGUUCUCAACAGAUUUUGGCAUUUCUUAAGAAACGGAUGUCAUGGAUCACAACAAGUUUCAUAUCCAGUACUUGUGCUAUUCUUGGAUUCAAUACCGACUGAUGUAAACCUUGGCGAGCAAUUUGUUGAUUAUUUUUUCCAAAAUCUUUGGGCUGGAAGAUAUUCUUCAUGCCACUCACUUGCUGAUAGCAAGGCUUUAUUUGGUGCAUUUAAAGAAUGUUUUCUCUGGGUGUUACAUCAUGUAUCAAGAUAUUGUAAAACAACAGAUGACCAAAGUGAACUUCCUAUCAAGUUGAUAAAUGAUAUUUUUGUAGAACUAUUAUUGAAUGACUAUCUGCUGUCAGCUAGCGUGAAAAAGCGAGAUGAAAGUUCACAAGCAAGGUCUGAUAUCUCAACUGAUGGUGGCAGUUCGCUGUCUCAUGAAAGGCCACAACAGAGAGUUAAUAGUAGCCAUCAAGCGUUUUUUACUGAAGAGUUAUUGAGGUGUAUUAUUGGAAUUCUAUUAGAGAUCUCCCAAGAGGAUCAAAAUUUGACAUGUGUUUUCUGUACAUCCUUUCAGAAGGACUGUCUUGAAAUUAUUCGAGAAGGGGAUUCCUUGCAAAAUUUUCCUGAGUGUAUAGAAAGAAUUGUCAGAUUUUUUCUAGCAAUUGAUAAGUGUAUUUUGCUGAAAGGUCAUGAUUGGCCUUUGCACUUUUUAGGCCGACCGCUAUUUUUUACCACCUUCCCUGUGAUUAAGUCUAUGGAUUCUCUGGAUGCAGUCAAGCUUCUGUCCAUCUUGGUUGAAAUAUUUGGACCCGAUCAAAUAUUCUCAGAGUUUGAUAGCCCAAAUGCAAUGGAUAUUGAAACCAAGACGAAGCAUUUUUUUCAUACAUUCAAUAAUGACUUUAUUCCAUGGUGUUUAGAAGGAGUUGGUAGUUUCGGAAAUCUAAAACUAGAUUUUCUGCUCGAUUUGUUUCAAGAUGACUAUUUUUUUCAGCAAUGGUGUGCAGUUAUCACCUAUUGUGUAGAUGAUACAAAAUUCACUGAAACCUCAGACAACAUUAGUAAUAUUCAGGUGCUUGCUAUUCUCAUUGGGAAGGUCAGGGAAAGAAUUAGGAGCAAGAAGCUGGGAAGGCUGCGAAAGUUUGGCUUGUCACCAGAACAUUGGCACCACGACUUGCUAAAUUCAUCUGCAAUAAGUUUUGCUCACCAGACUUCCAUGAUAAACUGUCAUGCUCAAUUUCUAUGUGCCGUACUUGGAGGGUCAGCCGAAGAUGAUCAGCUUUGCUUUUUGUCUAAAGAAACUUUAAUUAUUGUCUGGGAGGGAAUUUUGAGAAAAAUGACAUCACUUCUUACUUCGUCAUCAUUUCAUUGGGUUCAUUUUGCAUGCUCUUUGAUUCUAGGUUCUGACCACAAUGAUUUUCUUAAGCUGCAAGAAGCAUCUUUCUCAAUGAAGGUUGCAAUGGCUCAAUUUUCUUUUGAAGUUCUCAAGGGUAGCAUAUUUUGCUUGAAGAUAAUUGAUGAUAGUUGCACCUUAGUUUCUUCACUCUUAGCAACCCUAUUUGUUCUUGAUUGGGAAAAUUGCAUGAUGGCUCUGACUUGUACUAAUGAUAAAUUUGAUUGUUCAAAAUAUGCUGGUGAUAUUGAUAAUUCUCUGUUGGAAACUGAAGUUCUUGGCAAUGAGGAGCAGGUUGAUGCCAAGUUGGCUUUGGGAAGAAAAUUUUGUGCCUAUCGCCGUAAGAUAACUCCUAAUUUCUUGAAAAACACAAGUCGCGAGACACAAUCAAGAUUUCAAAACAUUUUAGUGAAAAUAGUAAGGUUUGCAUUACUAGACUCAGAUGAUUUAGUUUCUCCAAAAGAAUCUAUUUCAUUCUGUGAAUGGGUGUUAGAUAUGGCAGAAAUAAUAUGCGACACUAGAAAAGAGAUGCAGAUUUUGUUGGACCAAUUAUUCCAAGAGGGAAAAUCUUGGCCUUUCUGGGUUAAAUCACUCAUUGACAGUGGGAACAGAGUUGCAACUUUCCAGCGUGAGACAGCUUCAUUGAGUGUUAAUGAACACCAUAAUCACAGUUUUGUUGCUUUUGCUGACAAGCUUGUUUCAAGACUUGGAGUCGAUGUGGUAAUUGCAGGUCUUACAGAGAUUUCUAUUGGCUCAUCACGCAUUGAGGUUGUUUCAGGAUUUUCAUCUCCUUACAAACGUGAGUGGCUUGCUGCUGAAAUAAUUUCUUCAUGGGAGUGGCAAGUGAGUAAUGCAACAGAGGCUUUCUUACCUUUGCUUAGCAAAUAUGCAAGAACUGAAACCUCUACUCUUGAAGCUAAUAUUUUGUUCUCUAUUAUUAACACAUUAAUUGAUGGAGCUAUUACACAUGAAACUCAUGAUCACUGGGCAUCUUUUGAUUCAUGGAGGGUUCUGCAUGAUGAAUUUGAUAAAAUCAAUGAUCCAUUUCUCCGUGGCCUAGUUUCCUUGCUCUCUACUUUGUUUGUCAAGGAAAAAGUCUGGGGAAAGUGUGAGGCCAUUCAAUUAUUUAAACAGCUUAUGGAUAAACUUUAUGUUGGCACUUCUGUAGUGCAGUAUUGCCUUAGAAUUCUUCCUUUCAUUUUAAGUAUUAUUAUACCAUCAGCACUAGAAAACUCAGAAUCUGAUGGCACAACUGAAGAAAUUUUGAAAGAUUCUCUACACGAAAACCCAACAAGGAAAUAUGUCAUGAGUUGGCUUGAAAACUCCCUUUCCUUUCCUUCAAUAAUCUCAGCCAAAACAGAACAAGACGUUGAAGAAUGGAUCCAGGCCGUUAUAUCAUGUUAUCCAUUGAGGACAACAAUGGAAACUGGGAAAUUUGAAGUAAGUUUAUUGAGGAAUGUGAGCAAUGAGGAGGCAACUUUGCUUCUGAGUUUAUUCAGAAAGCAAGUAUGCUUUAAUGAUGCUUCUGCAGCCACUAAUCAGAAGCAGAUUAUUUUAGGGAAACUAAUAGCUGUUUCCGUUGGGUAUUGCUGGCAAAAAUUUGAUAAAGAUGACUGGAGUUUUGUGUUAGAUAAUUCACAUAGGUGGUUGGAGUCAUCUGUUUUGUUGCUGGAAGAGAUAACUGAUAGCAUUGAUGAUGCAAUAGUUAACCACACAAUUAUAAAUGGCUUAGAAUGUACUCAAAAGAAGCUCGAAAUCUCUCUUCAGAAUUAUGAUCCAUGGAUAUUUCAUUUAUCAACUGCCGCAUUAGUUACAUUAUGUCUUCUCUCACAACCGGAAGAACAUGAAAAAACAGAUAGUACAGAGGCUUUGCAUCACAUAAAACUUGGAAAGUGGGCUGCAAUGAAAGAUCAAACCAUGGCAAGUAUCUUACGCUUGUUUUUUGCAACUGGAGCUAGUGAGGCUAUUGCAAACUCAUGUAAUGGAAAUUUAUCGAAUGUUGUUGCUUCAAGUAGGCUGAUGCAAUCACAUUUUUGGGGUAUGAUAGCAUCAUUUGUUUGGAAUUCUCCUAAGCUAGUGAGAAGUGCAGCAGUGGAGUCAAUGAAACUUUGGGGUCUUAGCAAGGAUUCCAUAAGUUCAUUGUAUGCUAUUCUUUUCUCCUCAAGACCAAUCUCAUCGUUACAGUUUGCAGCUUAUUGUCUACUCUCUUCUGAGCCUCUAUGUCAUUUGUCAGUUGCAUCAGAAGGUAGUCUGGAGGGAGAAGGUAGCUCAUUUAUGGAGUCAGAACUCUCAUUGGAUGUGGAAUCAUCCAGCGAAGAAACUUUUUGUUUGAGAGAUGAGAUAUCCUUUCUCAUACAGAGACAAAGUGCUGACCUCCCAGAGAUGGACUUGAUAUCUCAAGAGAGGGUGAAUGUAUUUAUAGCCUGGGCACUUUUGCUUUCUUGUCUAAAUUCAUUUUCUCCUUCAUCCAAGGCUAGGGAAAAAAUGGUUCAAUACAUACAGGACUCAGUUAGUUCAACGAUAUUAGAUUGCAUUUUCCAGCAUAUUCCUUUGAAGAGCGGAGCAAAUAAUGUAAAGAAAAAGGAAAUUGAACUUGCAGUCGAAGCUUCUAAUGCUGCUAAUGCUGCUAGACAUUCAAUUACUACAUGCUCUCUAGAAUUAUAUGUACAAUCACUCUGGCCUGUUAGGAUUGAUACAAUGGCCUCACUGGCUGGUUCAAUAUAUGGAAUGAUGAUUCAUCUUCUUCCCUCUUAUGUUCGUAAUUGGUUUUCUAGUCUGCGCGAUCGCUCUCUGUCAUCUGCUGUUGAAUCUUUUACAAAAGCUUGGUGCAGUCCUCCUCUUCUUUUGGAUGAACUUUCCCAGGUCAAAGAGACUGUCUUUGCUGAUGACAACUUCUCAGUGAGUGUUAAUAGGUCAGCUUCUGAGAUAAUUGCUACUUAUAAAAAGGAGGAGACUGGGAUGGAUCUUGUGAUUCACCUUCCAAGUUCCUAUCCCUUGCGCCCUGUGGAUGUUGAAUGCGCGAGAAGUUUGGGAAUUAGUGAAGUAAAACAACGCAAAUGGUUGCUGUCUUUGACAGCAUUUGUUCGCAAUCAGAGAGUCAGUUGGUGCACAAAUAUUCUUCAAAGCAAGAUUCAAUGUGUGCACAACGCAAGGAGUCCAAAAUAUGUGUGGGUACUUUGCCUCAACGAGUAGCCCAGCAGCUUUGCAAACAGGAGCAUUAUCGGUGACCACUUGGACAACAUUCUGAUGUCCCACUUCAUUUAUGGUGGAAGAUAACCUGGAAUUGUUCGUUGAGUAGCCAAACUGAAAGCACGAACAUAAUGAGGAUUCCUAGCAAUAUUGAAAGAUAAUCCCCCAGUGUAAAACAACCUUGCAAUUUCAGAGUGGAGCUCAUCUCUGGCAUUCAAGUUAAAAGAUUUUUCAAGCGGGCCAAGUGGUCCUUUCCUCUUCUUUGUUGGAUCAUCAUUUUGCAAAAUACCACUAGUACAAAAUGAGGAUUUUGAAGCCAUAUUUGAUGAUGCAGAUGACGAAGGCAGCGGAACUUCUUUUUGUUUAGAAUUCUUCUUUCUCAAUUCUGCAUCAUCAAUAAGUUGUUGCAUACGCUUCAUUUGAUCCAUUGUAACAGUCGUACAACCUGCAAUUCCAGCACCUUUUUGUUUUAACAGGUGUGCUUUCACCCUUGAAUAUGAUCCUUUGCACACUUUAUUACAUAUAUUGCAUGACCAAGUAACAUUUCCUCCUCCAACUGCCUUUUCCACCUUGGUUACAAAUUUCCAUAAAGGAGAAUAAUCAUCAACAUCCUCAUGUGCACUGCCACUCUCAUUUUGAAAACUUUCCAUGGCAAGUAAACUGAAAAUAACAACUAACUGAACUAAGAAAUAAGAAGCAAUGCAGGGGACUGGGGAGCCUAUUGUUAAACUUACCAGAAAUCGUACCAAAAGCAAAAACAAAUUUGUGAACUCAAAAGAAAAAACAAAAAACUAAACUUACCACUUUACCAGAAAGAAGGCACUGGGCAGAAAGAGGGCAGCGACGGGAGAGCUGUUGCGAGCAGCGGCGGGAGACGGUGAGCAGCGCCGGGUUGCUGCUGGCUUCUGUGAGGGCUGCUGUUGAGCAGGCGACGACGCGACGCCUGGCUUUUGCAAGCAGCGGCGGUGACGCUGGCUUGAGCAGAGAGGCGACGCUGGCUUGAGCAAAGAGGCGACGGUGGCUUGAGCAGAGAGGCGACGCUGGCUUGAGCAGAGAGGCGACGCUGGCCGCUGGGCUUCUGCGAGCAGCGACGAACUGCUGCUGGGUUCUGCGAGUAGUGGAGCUGUGGCGGAUUCUUCGAGCAGCAACAGGCGACGCGACGAAGAAGUUGUCGCGAUGGAGAAAAGGAAUCGGGGGCGUGGGGAGAGUAGUUUAGGGUUUUUUUGUCAUUUUAAUAAGUAGUCCUCGUAAUUUUAUUAUUUUUCAUUUUUACCCUCGAAAUUUUUAAUUUUGUUACAAUUAUGCCCAAACGUGUCCGAAAACGUGUUUCGUCCGUGUCCUAGCUGUGUCUGGCUGGUCAAACUUGGAAAAAGUCAACGACACGGUUUUUGCCGUGUCCGACACGUAUUUGCGUGUCGUGUCCGUGUCCGACACACCCAAAAAUUUUUUUGGAGGGGUGUCCGUGCUACAUAGUUAAGAACAAGUACUCAUGCAAUAAUCUAGUGGGCUGACAUGAGUAGUAUUGGUGCUGCAGAAGCGGUUCGGAUCGCUAGAGGGGAGGGGUGAAUAGCUAAACUUGCAAGUUAAAACCCGAUUCAAAAAUAAACACAACAUAAAAAGAAGAGGCUCGAUACUUAGUUUACAAUCCAUGGGUUGCUAGUCCAAGAACUAUGAGAAAUCUCUUACAGUAGUUAAGUACAAGAACAAUAAAAAAACUGAAAACAGAAUGAAUUCGAGAGUGUGCUACUUUCCUCUUCAAGCUUCAGUCCCUUUAGAGACUCCAUCUCUAUCUCAACAUUUUGCUGACGUGGUACCUUCCGGUCUUUCGGAAGACGUCCGAUCGACUGGAUCUUUGUUGAUGCCGCUUUAAGCUUUAUUCGUUUCGACAAUGGCUCAAUAAUGGCUGUGGAUGACUCAGUGGUCUUCGGUCGAUUGGAAGUCCCUUCAGUCUCCAAGAUACGUUGCCAUGUUGAUCCAUUUUGACAACGGUCUGGAUGACUCAGUAGUCAACUUCCGAUCGCCUAGAUUAUGGCCAACCUUCGUACUACCAUUUAUUGAUCUCACCUUCUCUGGUCUCUCGGACACUAGGUCGCCCGGACUCAAUUCCUAUCACCCUGGGCAAUCUUCCUUCCUGCUUCUUUUCCCUCGGAUGCAUCAAGCCCUUCCGGCUCAUUCCCCAUGUGUCCUUUUUGCUCCACUAAAAUGCUCUUCUGUAGCUCCUCAUACCUCAGAUACACCGAGCCCUUCUACUCCUUUUCCGUGCUAUUUUUUUCGCUUGCUUGCGUCUUCUGCUAAGGCUUUGCGAUCUUCAAUGCUCCUAAGCCAUCGGGUAUGUGUUCUCUUAAUCCUUGUACACUUAGACACACAUUAAAACACAAUGAGGCCUAACUUAAACUUAUUUGAUUAAACAUCAAAACUCCACUUGAGGUUCUAACAAAUAGGAGGGAAAUCAGUUAUGAAGAGGCAACCUGCAAUAUUUAGUUUCAUAUGGGAAGUCUGGUGAGAAAAUGUUUGCUUAUGGACAUGAAAAUAUAAUUUCUUCUACCACGAAUUAGUUCAAUUUUGUCUAAGUCUGUUCUGCAUUUGUAUCUGGUGUUUUACAUCUGUAUAAUUUUUUAGUUAUGAUUGUUGUUUGAUUUCAAUCUAGCUAUUCUAGUAUGAACAAUCUGAAUGGUUAGUUGAAGAUUAUAAACAUAAACAUUCACAUUAGCAUCACAAUUGGUUUGAGAUUUAAUUGUAGAAACAUCAGAAACUAAAGAGCUCUCCUGAUCCUCCAAAUUCACUUGUACCUUACUACCUUUAAAUAACAUACACUACAAUUUGAAUUAAUUAAGAGGGCAGAGGUGGAUUUCAAUGGUUAUGGUAAAAGUUCAACAAUGAGUAUGACAAUUAUGAUAUCUUGGCAUAUAUAUGUUCCUUUCACUUUGCUUAUUGGUCAAAAUAGGAUAUUUUGAUCCCAUUUGCAUUUUGUUUGAUAGUAGAUGUAAACACACUUGUGAUUUCUCAUAUUUAUUCAUUAUUAGCAAAUAUAGCUGAUUGACAUUAUUAAUUCUAAAAUGUGCAAAUAGAAGCUCACACAUACAGUGCAACUAUGCUAUGCUUCAGCCGCAUGCAGUGUUCAUAUGCUUUUUAAACCAUGCACAGCUGUUGCAUAUAUUUCUCCAAUUUAAAGCCUUUAUUAAAUAUUUUUAUAGUAGUUUGAAUUCACUCUAUAUCUCUGCAUCUA